Molecule: ribosomal RNA, 494 nt
Filed under: uncultured bacterium
Lineage: Bacteria
Description: partial 16S ribosomal RNA
Rfam family: Bacterial small subunit ribosomal RNA
Source: RNAcentral
GACGAACGCUGGCGGCGUGCUUAACACAUGCAAGUCGAACGGUGAAGCGCCUUCCUUUUUGGUGGGUGUGGAUGAGUGGCGAACGGGUGAGUAACACGUGAGUAACCUGCCCCCUUCUUCUGGAUAACCGCAUGAAAGUGUGGCUAAUACGGGAUAUUCUGGGUCUGUCGCAUGAUGGGUCUGGGAAAGAUAUUGUUUCGGUGGGGGAUGGGCUCGCGGCCUAUGAGCUUGUUGGUGGGGUGAUGGCCUACCAAGGCGGUGACGGGUAGCCGGCCUGAGAGGGUGGACGGUCACACUGGGACUGAGACACGGCCCAGACUCCUACGGGAGGCAGCAGUGGGGAAUAUUGCACAAUGGGCGCAAGCCUGAUGCAGCGACGCCGCGUGAGGGAUGGAGGCCUGCGGGUUGUGAACCUCUUUCGCCAGUGAAGCAGGCCUGCCUCGUUUGUGGGUGGGUUGACGGUAGCUGGAGAAGAAGCGCCGGCUAACUACGUG